Molecule: long non-coding RNA, 3648 nt
Organism: Chelonia mydas (Green sea turtle)
Lineage: Eukaryota; Metazoa; Chordata; Testudines; Cheloniidae
Exons: 2
Source: RefSeq, a predicted model, not a curated record
AGAGUGCAAGAAGGGAGGACUGGGUAUCUGGCAGGCAGAAGGAAGCCUGCAGCCUGGACUGAGCAGUGUGGCUAGCAGGGACCAGAGAAAAGCUCCUGGCUGGCUGCUGGGAUUUGCAGGCUGAAGUCCUGAGGGAAGGGCGAAGAGGGUGCUGGGACCACGGCAGACAGAAGCGGUCAUAUUUCACACUUCAGCAAACCUGUAAUCAUGACAGUACUUUUGCACGGCAGUCUCACGUCCAAUUUGGCAGUUGCGCCUUCCCUUUAGCAGAGCAGCUAGUCACCGGGCAGCCAUGUGCCACAGUAGACAGCCGCUUAGGUGAACGACAGCGACCCUUACAGCCCGGAGGGACAGUCUCCAGCAGUUCCUUGGCAGACAUCAGCCAGGCAUGGCUGCCUUUGCUGUCCGCGGGAGAUAAGCACAAAAGCUGUUGCCGUGGGAUCCAGUUGCUCAGGGGUGUGUCCUUUCCGGCCUGCCGGCAGUGGUUACAGCCAGACAGUGCAGCUUGCACUACUCCCACCGGCUUGUGUACGUCACCCAGGCUGCACUGACCGCACCCGCGUCCGGCUCCCCCAAAGCCACUUACCCCUCGCUCUCGGAUGCAGCCAUCAGGCAGCCAGUCUCGGGUUAAUUGCAGGAGGAAGGGUUGGGGAGUUCGCUCCUUUGGUACCAAACGGAAUUCUUGCGGAUGAAUUGGAAACCUCCAAGCAGGACCUGUAUGAACUGGAGGCAGACGCAGGGAGAGUCAUUCACAUUCGCCGCCAUGACGGAACCCCAAAUCAACUCCUGUGUCAGCACCGGAGCCCUCUCUGGGGUGUGCCGACAACCACUCGAGCAACGCGACUUGUGGCUUUGAGCCCCGAGCCAGGGCAGGGUGGACGGCGUGGAGCUCGGCUGCCCAGCAGAAACCCCCAGGAGGUGCCAGUCUCAGGGAAAGGGAGGGACACAUGCAGCUGGCAGGCUUUGCUGGCAGAUGGAGCCAUUCCUCUUUGUACUGCAUCUGCAACCCAGAUGCAGUCCCGCAGUCCCUCCGUCUAAGAGCUUACAGACUAACGAACAAUACUGCUGCUGAGGAACCAAUACUUAACCUGACUUGCUGGGGUGUUUCUUAUAAUGCUCCUCUCGAGCUUCCUGCUACAAACCACAAGGGAGGGAAGGGGAUUCGCAGACAUGCUGAGCCCUCAGCCCUCCUUGAGUUUAAGAAAAAUCUUCUGCAAUUCAUGCAACACCUUACUCUCCACUGUAUUCCAAUGUUACACAAGAUCAGUCCCCCUUCACUCAGCUGGUACCCAUCUUCAAUAGAGGAGACGGCUAAGCUAUCUCAGGAGCAUCUAAUGUCUGGCUCUUGAGUCAGCCCAAUCCCAUGGCAGCCUGUCUCAUCCAUGCAAUAUCAAAUUCCCCUUACUGAGAGCUGAAGUGAUUCACAAGGUGAAGCUAUAAGGUAUUUGGGUCAGGAGAUGCUAAAUUCUAAUCCUGACCCGAUCUCUGAUUUGCAGCAUGAUCGUGUGCAAGCUACAAAUACCUCCAUAUGCCUUAGUUCUCCCGCCCCCACCUUUCUAUACCUUAGUUUCCCAUCUGUGUAGUGGGAAUAAUGAUUCCAACCUAUGGCACAUGGAUGCUGCAGAGAUCCAGCGGGGAUAUUCUAAAGUGCUUUUGCAAAUGCAAAUUGCAAUGCAAGUGCUAAGCGAUAACUAUAACUGCUGAGGAACCAGUGUAAAAGUUAGCCUGCUGUUUGGCAUUAUGCAGAUGGGAAAUAAUAGGUAUUUCAAUCUAAGCACUGAAACACCAGAAGUCUGUAUUAUUCCUUCUUCCCCUGAAUUGCAAACAUGGUGCAAAUCAGCUGAGUAAUGUAUUGGUGACAUUCAUAGACGGAGGAAGGGGGAAGCCACAGCUGCAGGCUGAGGCAUGAGUCUCGUCUAGUUAGAAUAUAUUUAGCAUUUGGAGAUAUACUUCUGCAUGCCUUUCAUCUGAGGCGCUCAAAGGCCUUUGCAGAUAUAGGCGAACAUGCCUCAGAGCACCUCUGCAAACCACAAGAAAACAGAGAGGAGGAGGAGGAGAGGGAUCUGCAAAGCUACAGUUCAUGCACCGUCAGGAAUCAAAGUGUAGAAAAAGAAUUUCUCUAGCUUCCAUCCUCCAGCACAAUUUGCAGCACUUGCAUAAAAUCUCUGUCUCUCACACACACACACCCUACUGCACUCACACACCCCAGUGCAUGCACACUCUCACCCCGGUGCACCAAUUACCAAGAAAUCCAGCCAACGUUUGUAUCUCCUGGCACCCAUUCAAAACUGCACUGUUGUUUCAAGAGAAGCUACUGAAGGCAGCUUUAUGGGAUUGUGAUGAAUUCUGCUUGCUUUUUCCACAGAAGCUGCCAAAUCUCUUAUUUGCAAUUCCCUCCUCCCACUACUCCCCAGCUCUAAUCAGUUAAUAGCACCAGUAAAAAACAGAUCAGUUACCUUUGCUGUUACCAGAGGAUGUUAGCAGGGAUUUUGUGAAUAGUUGAAAUAUCAAAGUAUUUCCAGCAACGAGUCUCCCUUUUAUACUCUUCUGGACUAUGUCGUCAGCCCAGCGCAUUGGCAACAAUGUCCGUGGGAUCACAGGCUGUAGCCAAUCGGAGUGGACCCUGUACCGAGAGGGUGGUUAAUAAAACAACAACAUGAAACUUCUUCACAGCAUAUUUCUAGUAUAGCUGUGAUGAUGCAAGUGGUUUCUAUUGGUCCUGCCCAAAUAUAGCACUUCCUUUCCUGGAAAUCACAUGAUCUUCUUGAAAGUAAAAGUUUCAUUUCUAUUAAGCAACAAGUUUCAGAGUAACAGCCCUGUGAGUCUGUAUUCGCAAAAAGCAACAAGGCUCUCCAGAGGUGGAAGGGCCCAGCCAAUCUGCUGGGCUAUGUUUGCAAAUGCAAAUGUUACAAUCAGCAGUCUCAGGGUGUCAGGGACUUCUCCAAAGCUGUUUCUGCAGCAACAGCAGCUCCUCCCAACUUCAUUACUGGGCACUGAAAUUUUCUUUCUUUCUUCAUAUAAGAUUAAAUAAAACUGAAAAUGGGAAGCUUUAUAUAUAUCAUUUAUACAACGUGUCCAUGUGUCUUGUUCUGCAAUCCCAGAACAGAAACUUUAAUCAGAAAUCCUGGAAAACAUGUGAAGGAAUGGAGAUUUUGAAGUAAUUGGUUCUUGCUUUAUUUACCCUGUUCUGCUGUAAUAAUUGCAGAAGUCUGUCCACAGCAUUCAAAGCGGGAAUCUAAACCUAGCCAUUGGCUAAUAACACAAUACAUUUUAUGUAAAAGCCUCAACUUCACACAGCAAUUAUUAAACCUGUCUACCAGGUAAAUGAUAGCCUCUGACUCCUCAUAGUCAUUUGUGCCCUGCUGCAAAAUGAGAUCUGUUUUCAAGAAACUAUUAAGUCAAUACUUAAUUACUAGUUCAUUCUUUUUAUAUACCUUUUGUAUAUAAAUUAAAUUUGGGGUAAAUACAGUAUCUGAAUAUGGAGUAAUAGAUAAGCAUUUUCCUGCAAUGCAAUUUAUUUGCCUUAAAUUACUACUGUAUAUAAUUUUAUGUUCACAUGUUGGAAAUCACCUUGGUCUAUUUCCAUGAGCAAGCACUUGCCUUGUUUAGCAUUUUUCCAGUCCAAAUAAAAUCUGUUAUGAGUUUUGC